GGAGGGGUCGCAUAGAGGCCUAGUGCGUCUGCCUGCUAAGCAGAUAGAGGGACUUAUCCCUCUCGCGGGUUCGAAUCCCGCUCCCUCCGCCG
This 92-nucleotide transfer RNA is filed under the name Dehalococcoidia bacterium. Its description in RNAcentral is "tRNA-Ser". It matches the Rfam family "tRNA". From Rfam's summary of the family: Transfer RNA (tRNA) molecules are approximately 80 nucleotides in length. Lineage: Bacteria; Bacillati; Chloroflexota; Dehalococcoidia. The record is from RNAcentral.